UGCGUAGGUGGUUUAUUAAGUCGUAUGUGAAAACCCUGGGCUUAACCUAGGAAUUGCAUAUGAAACUGAUAGGCUAGAGUGCAGUAGAGGGAAGUGGAAUUUCCAGUGUAGCGGUGAAAUGCGUAGAUAUUGGAAGGAACAUCAGUGGCGAAGGCGACUUCCUGGACUGUUACUGACACUGAGGCACGAAAGCGUGGGGAGGCGAACA
RNAcentral lists this ribosomal RNA (208 nucleotides) under uncultured bacterium. Its description in RNAcentral is "partial 16S ribosomal RNA". It matches the Rfam family "Bacterial small subunit ribosomal RNA", at positions 568 to 774 of the family's 1533-position model. The record is from RNAcentral.